AACCCCUCCAAUCCUUCAAAGCCCAGCUGUGCUGUCAGCUCCUCUGGGAAGACUUUCUCACCACUCUGGUUAAGUACUGAACGCAAGAUUUGAACAACAGGUGAGAGCAGUUUGGAGCGCAAGAGUCUGAGCAUAUUUAUUCAAAAUUGUGUCUGAAUCAAUAAACAAAGAGCAGAAUGUCAGAAGCAAUGAGUGUAUCUUCAAGGAGUACAGCAUUAAAGCCCGGAUAAGCCAUCAAAAACCAGGGCUCCAACCCAAGUGAGCCAAGUGAAGAGUUGGAACCAAUCUUAGAGAUAGAGCAAUCACAGGAACUGAUGUG
This is a long non-coding RNA of Pteropus alecto (black flying fox), 319 nucleotides long. RefSeq lists it as uncharacterized. The record is from RefSeq and is a predicted model, not a curated record. The transcript is spliced from 3 exons. NCBI's taxonomy places the organism in Eukaryota, Metazoa, Chordata, Mammalia, Chiroptera, Pteropodidae.